This 504-nucleotide ribosomal RNA is filed under the name uncultured bacterium. RNAcentral's name for it is "partial 16S ribosomal RNA". It matches the Rfam family "Bacterial small subunit ribosomal RNA", at positions 30 to 523 of the family's 1533-position model. The record is from RNAcentral.
AUUGAACGCUGGCGGCAUGCCUUACACAUGCAAGUCGAACGGCAGCAUGGAGAGCUUGCUCUCUGAUGGCGAGUGGCGAACGGGUGAGUAAUGCAUCGGAACGUACCGUGUAAUGGGGGAUAACGUAGCGAAAGUUACGCUAAUACCGCAUACGACCUGAGGGUGAAAGCAGGGGAUCGCAAGACCUUGCGUUAUACGAGCGGCCGAUGUCAGAUUAGCUAGUUGGUGAGGUAAAGGCUCACCAAGGCGACGAUCUGUAGCGGGUCUGAGAGGAGGAUCCGCGACCCGGGGACUGUGACACGGCCCAGACUCCUACGGGAGGCAGCAGUGGGGAAUUUUGGACAAUGGCGGCAACCCUGAUCCGGCCAUGCCGCGUGAGUGAAGAAGGCCUUCGGGUUGUAAAGCUCUUUCGGCCGGGAAGAAAUCGCACAGGCUAAUACUCUGUGUGGAUGACGGUACCGGCAUAAGAAGCACCGGCUAACUACGUGCCAGCCGCCGCCGUAA